RNAcentral lists this ribosomal RNA (504 nucleotides) under uncultured bacterium. RNAcentral's name for it is "partial 16S ribosomal RNA". It matches the Rfam family "Bacterial small subunit ribosomal RNA", at positions 28 to 523 of the family's 1533-position model. The record is from RNAcentral.
GACGAACGCUGGCGGCGUGCCUAACACAUGCAAGUCGAACGGAAAUACGAUUUCGGUUGUAUUUUAGUGGCGAACGGGUGAGUAACGCGUGAGCAACCUGACCUUCAGAGGGGGAUAACAUUUGGAAACAGAUGCUAAUACCGCAUAAGACCACGACCCGACAUCGGGAUGCGGUCAAAGGAGCAAUCCGCUGAGGGAGGGGCUCGCGUCCCAUUAGAUAGAUGGCGGGGUAACGGCCCACCAUGUCGACGAUGGGUAGCCGAGCUUGAGAGGACGACCAGCCACACUGGAACUGAGACACGGUCCAGACUCCUACGGGAGGCAGCAGUGGGGAAUAUUGCACAAUGGGCGCAAGCCUGAUGCAGCCAUGCCGCGUGUAUGAAGAAGGCCUUCGGGUUGUAAAGUACUUUCAGCGGGGAGGAAGGGAGUAAAGUUAAUACCUUUGCUCAUUGACGUUACCCGCAGAAGAAGCACCGGCUAACUCUGUGCCAGCAGCCGCCGUAA